UCGAGAAUCUUCGGCAAUGGGCGCAAGCCUGACCGAGCGACGCCGCGUGUGGGAUGAAGGCCUUCGGGUUGUAAACCGCUGUCAGAGGGGAUGAAAUGCCAGGGGGUUAUCCUUCUGGUUUGACAUAUCCUCAGAGGAAGUACGGGCUAAGUUCGUGCCAGCAGCCGCGGUAAGACGAACCGUACGAACGUUAUUCGGAAUCACUGGGCUUAAAGGGUGCGUAGGCGGCAUGGCAAGUUGGGUGUGAAAUCCCUCGACUCAACCGAGGAAUUGCGCCCAAAACUGCCUUGCUUGAGGGAGACAGAGGUGAGCGGAACUACGGGUGGAGCGGUGAAAUGCGUUGAUAUCCGUAGGAACACCGGUGGCGAAAGCGGCUCACUGGGUCUCUUCUGACGCUGAGGCACGAAAGCUAGGGUAGCGAACGGGAUUAGAUACCCCCGUAGUCC
This 446-nucleotide ribosomal RNA is filed under the name uncultured prokaryote. RNAcentral's name for it is "bacterial SSU rRNA". It matches the Rfam family "Bacterial small subunit ribosomal RNA", at positions 355 to 796 of the family's 1533-position model. The record is from RNAcentral.